This is a long non-coding RNA of Larimichthys crocea (large yellow croaker), 1024 nucleotides long. RefSeq lists it as uncharacterized. Lineage: Eukaryota; Metazoa; Chordata; Actinopteri; Sciaenidae. The record is from RefSeq and is a predicted model, not a curated record. The transcript has 2 exons.
CAGACUGUGGCAAGAAACUUUGACUGACCCUCCACCUACCAGCCUCUGCCACCAGCCUGCAGGCCACCUCCACCUGCAGACUGUGACAUCGAGAUAUGGACUGACCAUCCACCUACCAGCCUUUGACAACAAUCUUCUCCCUCUCACCUGACUGUCAGCUCACCACCUGCUGCUCAUCAUCCAGUCAUCCCUGUGAUAUAAAGGACCGGUUUAACCUUCCAGACUGUGCCACAUGGUUUGGUGUCCUAUGCUUCAGGAAAUCCUGCCAGACAUCCAUCCAGCUCAGUCUUAUCUAAACACCUGCUCCUGAAGUUUGCUGCCACCACCAGCCUUGCACUGUUCUGGAUCUCCUACCUUUAAGAUGUCAUCCAGUCAUCCUGCUCCUGAGUUGCGCUAUUAAUUUAGUUGAAUAAACUGUAUAAAUGUAUUCUGUUCUGUGGUUGGUGUUUGCAGUUUGGGUCCUUUAGUAUUCAUUAUAAUGAUCUGUGUAUAUAGUAUCAUACUUUAAUCAAAGCAAAGUGGAAAUUAGCUGCUGAGCCUCCUAUUAAUGCCUUGUCCCUCAUUAUCUCUGUGCAGUGUGUGCAAUAUUCCUCUGCUAGAAUACAUCCUCAUGUUUGCUGUGUGACAAUGUGAUUAAACACAAAAAUAAUUCUGUAACAUAAAUCAUCUGAGCACACUGUCAAUAUCAGUUUAAAACUGGAUUUUUAACAUAAGAACCCUGAGAAGAAAGAGGAGCAGGUAAAACAGGACCCAUGUGGAGGCCUUCAUCAUGUUAGUUGAUGUUGUGCCUAGAGCACAAUACAAAUGCCACAAAGUAAAGUCAUCUAAUGCAGAGUUGGAGCUUGGAGGUGAAAGCUGCUUUUAAAUGUUUCUGCUUCAAAGCUUCAACACUAAUGGUACAGAAAAUACACUGAGGUGGAAAUCCAAACUAAGAAAAAGAAGCAUCAUAAAUAAUGGAGUCAUUUGUACUUUGUCUGUGAAUUCGCUGACAAGAGAUAAUAAAACUGCACUAAUUUGAACUGAU